GUGUCAGCAGCCGCGGUAAUACGUAGGGAGCAAGCGUUGUCCGGAAUCAUUGGGCGUAAAGCGCGCGUAGGCGGCCCUGUAAGUCCGUUGUGAAAGUCAAAGGCUCAACCUUUGAAAGCCGAUGGAUACUGCAGGGCUAGAGUCCGGAAGAGGCGAGUGGAAUUCCUGGUGUAGCGGUGGAAUGCGCAGAUAUCAGGAGGAACACCAAUAGCGAAGGCAGCUCGCUGGGACGGUACUGACGCUAAGGCGCGAAAGCGUGGGGAGCGAACAGGAUUAGAAACCCCCGUAGUCC
RNAcentral lists this ribosomal RNA (292 nucleotides) under uncultured bacterium. Its description in RNAcentral is "partial 16S ribosomal RNA". It matches the Rfam family "Bacterial small subunit ribosomal RNA", at positions 505 to 796 of the family's 1533-position model. The record is from RNAcentral.